UAACGCUGCGGUGUCCGAUCAACAUUUUUAAAGGCCCUCUUGGUCGCAGAGACAACAUUUUGCUAUUUGAAAGACCUUUCUGCAAUUCUACACAUUUUGCCAUUGUGGUAGAGGUACCAUUUUACAGUUUUAAAACUAGUUUACUGCAAUUCAUAUUUUUUUGCAAUGGUUUUUGCUCUUAUGUUAUCUGAGUGACUCAAACAUUAUAAUAAAAUCAGUGGGGGCCCAAUGCCAAGACAUUUUUAAACUUUUUGAUAUUCUUUGACUAGUCUGUUUUUAUUUUGGUGAUUGUUAGUUCUCAAAGAUGAGUAUUCAAAACAUUAAGAACACCUGCUCUUUCCAUGACAUAGACAGACCAGCAAUGUUCCCUCUCAUUUUUUAAAUCACUGAGCAAAUUUCAGGUCUGCUGAGUGCAAACUGUACCCGCUUUAAGUUUGUUUUAACAGUGGUCAAAUAUGCUACUGUGGCUAUUUGAUCAUCAUGUAGGCCUACUAGAGCCGGCCUACCAUCCAAAAAGAGAAAAUGCCAGUGUGUGGUGUUCAAAGGAAGCCAACAUUCCAUGAGACUUUAAAAAAAAACACGCAGGGCUUGACAUUAACCUGUUUAUUCACUUGUCCUUCAGAUAAGGAGGUGAGUGAGUGAAAUGUUGUUUUGUUGUUUGAUGCAAGAAACCGCUUCAGAAAAAAAAGCCUAAUUAUUCUCAUACCAUUAUUACAGAGAAUCAGACAAAUUAGGUCUGUGUAGAAUAUGUGCCUGAGUCAUGCCUGUAUGUGCCUGAGUCAUGCCUACAACAACAUCUCUUGGUUAGUUUUGCAUACUGGAGCAGCAGGUAGCUGGCAGGUAGCCUAGUGGUGAGAGCCGAAAGGUUGCAAGAUCGAAUCCCUGAGCUGACAAGGUAAAAAUCUGUCGUUCUGAACAAGGCAGUUAACCCCCUGGGGUUCCUAGGCUGUCAUUGAAAAUAAGAAUUUGUUCUUAACUGACUUGCCUAGUUGAAUAAAGAUAAAAUGUUAAGUCUUGCAUAGUUUGUUUUGUUUCGGCAUGUUGCAUUGAAAGUGGCUAAUAUUGCAUUGAUUUCAUCGCAAUUCCCACCAUAAAGGGAAACGUUGUGGGGAAAACUCUAGAAAGUUCAAUUAAGUUCAAUCUUGUGCUUCUCUGGACGAGCUGAUAUUUCUUCUGCACUAAGCGCACAUCCACAGCUUAGAGGAAACAUUGCUGACCAGGUGAAUCCAGGUCAAAGCUAUGAUCCCUUAUUGAUGUCACUUGUUAAAUCCACUUCAAUCAUUGUAGAUGAAGGGGAGGAGACAGGUUAAAGAAGGAUUUUUAAGCCUUGAGACAAUUGAGAAAGGGAUUGUGUAUGUGUGCCAUUCAGAGGAUGAAUGGGCAAGACAAAAAAUGUAAGUGCCUUUGAAUGGGGUAUAGUAGUAGGUGACAGGCGCACUUUGUGUCAAGAACUGCAAUACUGCUGGGUUUUUCCCGCUCAACAGUUUCAUAUGUGUAUCAAGAAUGGUCCACCAUACAAAGACUUCCAUCCAACUUGACACAACUGUUGGAAGCAUUGGAGUCAACAUGGGUCAGCAUCCCUGUGGAACGCUUUGAAACCUUGUGAAAAUAAAGACGAGAAAUAAAAAGGCAUCCAGAGGAGGAUAGGAUAGGUAGAGGAUAGGUAGAGGAGAGGAUAACCAGAGGAUAGGUAGAGGAUAGCCAGAGGAUAGGUAGAGGAAGAGGAGAGGAUAGUCAGAGGAUAGGUAGAGGAGAGGAUAGUCAGAGGAUAGGUAGAGGAGAGGAUAGUCAGAGGAUAGGUAGAGGAGAGGAUAGCCAGAGGAUAGGUAGAGGAGAGGAUAGUCAGAGGAUAGGUAGAGGAGAGGAUAGCCAGAGGAUAGGUAGAGGAGAGGAUAGCCAGAGGAUAGGUAGAGGAGAGGAGAGGAUAGGAUAGGUAGAGGAAGAGGAGAGGAUAGCCAGAGGAUAGGUAGAGGAGAGGAUAGCCAGAGGAUAGGUAGAGGAGAGGAUAGCCAGAGGACAGGUAGAGGAGAGGAUAGCCAGAGGAUAGGUUUAGGAGAGGAUAACCAGAGGAUAGGUAGAGGAGAUGAUAGCCAGAUGACAGGUUUAGGAGAGGAUAACCAGAGUAUAGGUAGAGGAGUGGAUAGCCAGAGAAUAGUUAUAGGAGAGGAUAGCCAGAUGACAGGGAGAGGAGAGGAUAGCCAGAGGAUAGAUAGAGGAGAUGAUAGCCAGAGGAUAGGUUGAGGAGAGGAUGGCCAGAGGAUAGGUAGAGGAGAGGAUAGCCAGAGGACAGGUAGAGGAGAGGAUAUUGAGGCUGUUCUGAGGGUAAAAAAUAGGAGAGGAUAGCCAGAGGAUAGGUAGUGGAGAAGAUAACCAGAGGAUAGGUAGAGGAGAGGAUAGCCAGAGGACAGGUAGAGGAGAUGAUAGCCAGAGGAUAGGUAGAGGAGAUGAUAGCCAGAGGAUAGGUAGAGGAGAUGAUAGCCAGAGGAUAGGUAGAGGAGAUGAUAGCCAGAGGAUAGGUAGAGGAGAGGAUAACCAGAGGAUAGGUAGAGGAGAUGAUAGCCAGAUGACAGGUUUAGGAGAGGAUAACCAGAGUAUAGGUAGAGGAGUGGAUAGCCAGAGAAUAGGUAUAGGAGAGGAUAGCCAGAGGAUAGGUUUAGGAGAGGAUAGCCAGAGGAUAGGUAGAGGAGAGGAUAGCCAGAGGAUAGGUAGAGUAGAUGAAAGCCAGAUGACAGGUAGAGGAGAGGAUAGCCAGAGGAUAGAUAGAGGAGAUGAUAGCCAGAGGAUAGGUUUAGGAGAGGAUGGCCAGAGGAUAGGUAGAGGAGAGGAUAGCCAGAGGACAGGUAGAGGAGAGGAUAUUGAGGAUGUUCUGAGGGUAAAAAUUAGGAGAGGAUAUCCAGAGGAUAGGUAGAGGAGAGGAUAACCAGAGGAUAGGUAGAGGAGAGGAUAGCCAGAGGACAGGUAGAGGAGAGGAUAGCCAGAGGAUAGGUUUAGGAGAGGAUAACCAGAGGAUAGGUAGAGGAGAUGAUAGCCAGAUGACAGGUUUAGGAGAGGAUAACCAGAGUAUAGGUAGAGGAGUGGAUAGCCAGAGAAUAGUUAUAGGAGAGGAUAGCCAGAUGACAGGGAGAGGAGAGGAUAGCCAGAGGAUAGAUAGAGGAGAUGAUAGCCAGAGGAUAGGUUGAGGAGAGGAUGGCCAGAGGAUAGGUAGAGGAGAGGAUAGCCAGAGGACAGGUAGAGGAGAGGAUAUUGAGGCUGUUCUGAGGGUAAAAAAUAGGAGAGGAUAGCCAGAGGAUAGGUAGUGGAGAAGAUAACCAGAGGAUAGGUAGAGGAGAGGAUAGCCAGAGGACAGGUAGAGGAGAUGAUAGCCAGAGGAUAGGUAGAGGAGAUGAUAGCCAGAGGAUAGGUAGAGGAGAUGAUAGCCAGAGGAUAGGUAGAGGAGAUGAUAGCCAGAGGAUAGGUAGAGGAGAGGAUAACCAGAGGAUAGGUAGAGGAGAGGAUAGCCAGAGGAUAGGUAGAGGAGAGGAUAGGAUAGGUAGAGGAAGAGGAGAGGAUAGCCAGAGGAUAGGUAGAGGAAGAGGAGAUGAUAGGAUAGGUAGAUGAAGAGGAGAGGAUAGUCAGAGGACAGGUAGAGGAAGAGGAGAGGAUAGCCAGAGGAUAGGUAGAGGAAGAGGAGAGGAUAACCAGAGGAUAGGUAGAGGAGAUGAUAGCCAGAUGACAGGUUUAGGAGAGGAUAACCAGAGUAUAGGUAGAGGAGUGGAUAGCCAGAGAAUAGGUAUAGCCAGGGGAUAGGUUUAGGAGAGGAUAGCCAGAGGAUAGGUAGAGGAGAGGAUAGCCAGAGGAUAGGUAGAGGAGAUGAUAGCCAGAUGACAGGUAGAGGAGAGGAUAGCCAGAGGAUAGAUAGAGGAGAUGAUAGCCAGAGGAUAGGUUUAGGAGAGGAUGGCCAGAGGAUAGGUAGAGGAGAGGAUAGUCAGAGGACAGGUAGAGGAGAGGAUAGGUAGAGGAGAGGAUAGCCAGAGGAUAGGUAGAGGAGAGGAUAGGAUAGGUAGAGGAAGAGGAGAGGAUAGCCAGAGGAUAGGUAGAGGAAGAGGAGAUGAUAGGAUAGGUAGAUGAAGAGGAGAGGAUAGUCAGAGGACAGGUAGAGGAAGAGGAGAGGAUAGCCAGAGGAUAGGUAGAGGAAGAGGAGAGGAUAACCAGAGGAUAGGUAGAGGAGAGGAUAGGUAGAGGAGAGGAUAACCAGAGGAUAGGUAGAGGAGAGGAUAGCCAGAGGACUGGUAGAGGAGAGGAUAGCCAGAGGAUAGGUUUAGGAGAGGAUAACCAGAGGAUAGGUAGAGGAGAUGAUAGCCAGAUGACAGGUUUAGGAGAGGAUAACCAGAGUAUAGGUAGAGGAGUGGAUAGCCAGAGAAUAGGUAAGGCCAGAGGAUAGGUUUAGGAGAGGAUAGCCAGAGGAUAGGUAGAGGAGAGGAUAGCCAAAGGAUAGGUAGAGGAGAUGAUAGCCAGAUGACAGGUAGAGGAGAGGAUAGCCAGAGGAUAGAUAGAGGAGAUGAUAGCCAGAGGAUAGGUUUAGGAUGGAUGGCCAGAGGAUAGGUAGAGGAGAGGAUAGCCAAAGGACAGGUAGAGGAGAGGAUAUUAGGGCUGUUCUGAGGGUAAAAAUUAGGAGAGGAUAGCCAGAGGAUAGCUAGUGGAGAAGAUAACCAGAGGAUAGGUAGAGGAGAUGAUAGCCAGAGGAUAGGUAGAGGAGAUGAUAGCCAGAGGAUAGGUAGAGGAGAGGAUAGCCAGAGGACAGGUAGAGGAGAGGAUAGCCAGAGGAUAGGUGGAGGAGAUGAUAGCCAGAGGAUAGGUAGAGGAGAUGAUAGCCAGAGGAUAGGUAGAGGAGAGGAUAACCAGAGGAUAGGUAGAGGAGAGGAUAACCAGAGGAUAGGUAGAGGAGAGGAUAACCAGAGGACAGGUAGAGGAGAGGAUAGAUAGAGGAGAGGAUAGCCAGAGGAUAGGUAGAGGAGAGGAUAGGAUAGGUAGAGGAAGAGGAGAGGAUAGCCAGAGGAUAGGUAGAGGAAGAGGAGAUGAUAGGAUAGGUAGAUGAAGAGGAGAGGAUAGCCAGAGGACAGGUAGAGGAAGAGGAGAGGAUAGCCAGAGGAUAGGUAGAGGAAGAGGAGAGGAUAGCCAGAGGAUAGGUAGAGGAGAGGAUAACCAGAGGAUAGGUAGAGGAGAGGAUAGCCAGAGGACAGGUAGAGGAGAGGAUAGCCAGAGGAUAGGUUUAGGAGAGGAUAACCAGAGGAUAGGUAGAGGAGAUGAUAACCAGAUGAUAGGUAGAGCAGAGGAUAGCCAGAGGACAGGUAGAGGAGAUGAUAGCCAGAGGACAGGUUUAGGAGAGGAUAACCAGAGUAUAGGUAGAGGAGAGAAUAGCCAGAGGAUUGGUAGAGGAGAGGAGAGGAUAUCCAGAGGAUAGGUAGAGGAGAGGAUAGCCAGAGGAUAGGUUUAGGAGAGGAUAGCCAGAGGAUAGGUAGAGGAGAGGAUAGCCAGACGAUAGGUAGAGGAGAUGAUAGCCAGAGGACAGGUAGAGGAGAGGAUAGCCAGAGGAUAGUUAGAGAUGAUAGCCAGAGGAUAGGUUUAGGAGAGGAUGGCCAGCGGAUAUGUAGAGGAGAGGAUAGCCAGAGGACAGGUAGAGGAGAGGAUAACCAGAGGAUAGGUAGAGGACAGGAUAACCAGAGGAUAGGUAGAGGAGAGGAUAGCCAGAGGAUAGGUAGAGGAGAGUAUAGCCAGAGGAUUGGUAGAGGAGAGGAGAGGAUAUCCAGAGGAUAGGUAGAGGAGAGGUAGAGGAGAGGAUAGUCAGAGGAUAGGUAGAGGAGAGGAUAGCCAGAGCAUAGGUAGAGGAGAGGAUAGCCAGAGGACAGGUAGAGGAGAGGAUAGCCAGAGGAUAGGUAGAGGAGAUGAUAGCCAGAGGACAGGUAGAGGAGAGGAUAGCCAGAGGAUAGUUAGAGAUGAUAGCCAGAGGAUAGGUUUAGGAGAGGAUGGCCAGAGGAUAUGUAGAGGAGAGGAUAGCCAGAGGACAGGUAGAGGAGAGGAUAACCAGAGGAUAGGUAGAGGAGAGGAUAACCAGAGGAUAGGUAGAGGAGAGGAUAGCCAGAGGAUAGGUAGAGGAGAGGAUAGCCAGAGGACAGGUAGAGGAGAGGAUAGCCAGAGGAUAGGUUUAGGAGAGGAUAACCAGAGGAUAGGUAGAGGAGAUGAUAGCCAGAUGACAGGUUUAGGAGAGGAUAACCAGAGUAUAGGUAGAGGAGUGGAUAGCCAGAGA
Long non-coding RNA from Oncorhynchus keta (chum salmon), 6283 nucleotides. RefSeq lists it as uncharacterized. The record is from RefSeq and is a predicted model, not a curated record. NCBI's taxonomy places the organism in Eukaryota, Metazoa, Chordata, Actinopteri, Salmoniformes, Salmonidae. The transcript has 3 exons.